This 1098-nucleotide long non-coding RNA is filed under the name Scophthalmus maximus (turbot). RNAcentral describes it as "lncRNA (ENSSMAG00000022115.1)". Lineage: Eukaryota; Metazoa; Chordata; Actinopteri; Pleuronectiformes; Scophthalmidae. The record is from RNAcentral.
CUAUCUAUAUCUCUAUCUAUAUCUCUCUCUAUCUAUCUAUCUAUCUAUCUAUCUAUCUCUCUCUCUCUCUCUCUCUCUCUCUCUCUCUCUCUAUCUAUCUAUCUAUCUAUCUAUCUAUAUCUCUAUUUAUCUAUCUAUAUCUCUAUCUAUCUAUUUAUCUCUAUCUCUAGAUCUAUAUAUAUCUAUAUCUCUAUCUAUCUAUAUAUAUGUAUAUAUAUAUACAUCUAUUUAUCUAUAUAUAUAUCUCCAUCUAUCUAUCUAUAUCUUGAUCUAUAUAUCUAUAUCUCUAUAUCUAUAUCUCUCUCUAUCUAUAUAUCUAUAUAUAUAUCUCUAUAUCUAUAUCUAUCUCUCGAUCUAUAUAUCUAUAUCUCUCUCUCAAUCUAUAUCUAUAUACCUAGCUAUCUAUAUCUCUAUCUCUCGAUCUAUAUAUCUAUAUCUCUAUCUAUAUCUCUCGAUCUUUAUAUCUAUAUACCUAUCUAUCUAUCUAUCUAUCUAUCUAUCUAUCUAUCUAUCUAUAUCUCUAUCUCUAUAUCUAUAGCUCUCUCUCGAUCUAUAUAUCUAUAUAUAGAUAUAGAUAUAUCUAUAUAUCUAUAUCUCUCGAUCGAUCUAUAUAUCUAUAUCUCUCUCUCGAUCUAUAUAUCUAUAUCUCUAUCUCUCGAUCUAUAUAUCUAUAUCUCUCUCUCGAUCUAUAUAUCUAUAUCUAUAUACCUAUCUAUCUAUCUAUAUCUCUCGAUCUAUAUAUCUCUAUCACUAACUAUAUCUCUCUCGAUCUAUAUAUCUAUAUAUAUCUAUAUCUCUCUCUCGAUCUAUAUCUCUCUCUCGAUCUAUAUAUCUACAUCUCCAUCUCUCGAUCUAUAUAUCUAUCUCUAUAUCUCUAUCUAUAUCUCUCUCGACCUAUAUAUCUAUAUAUCUCUAUAUCUAUAUCUAUAUCUCUCUCUCGAUCUAUAUCUCUAUCUAUAUCUCUCUCGAUCUAUAUAUCUAUAUAUCUCUAUAUCUAUCUCUCGAUCUAUCUAUCUAUAUCUCUAUCUCUAUAUAUCUAUCUCUAUCUAUAUCUCUCUCGAUCUAUAUAUCUAUAUCCAUAUCUCUCUCUCGAUCUAA